GCAUCGAUGAAGAACGCAGCGAAAUGCGAUACUUGGUGUGAAUUGCAGAAUCCCGUGAACCAUCGAGUCUUUGAACGCAAGUUGCGCCCGAAGCCUUCUGGCCGAGGGCACGUCUGCCUGGGCGUCACGCAUCGCGUCUCCCCCCAACCCACCAAGCGUGGGUUAUGGGGGAGGAGGAUGGCUUCCCGUGCCUCACCGGGCGCGGCUGGCCUAAAUAAGGAGCCUCAGGUCACGGACUGCUGCGGCGAUUGGUGAAUAAUCAACUCUAUCCGUGCAGUGCGUGGCCAUCGUGGACUCGUAGGACCCUGUGUUGUCCCCUUAUACGGACAAACCGUUGCGACCCCAGGUCAGGCGGGGCUACCCGCUGAGUUUAAGCAUAUCAAUAAGCGGAGGAU
RNAcentral lists this unclassified non-coding RNA (395 nucleotides) under uncultured bacterium. Its description in RNAcentral is "contains 16S-23S intergenic spacer region". The stretch from base 1 to 127 matches the Rfam family "5.8S ribosomal RNA", at positions 30 to 154 of the family's 154-position model. The record is from RNAcentral.